RNAcentral lists this unclassified non-coding RNA (331 nucleotides) under uncultured fungus. RNAcentral's name for it is "partial contains small subunit ribosomal RNA, internal transcribed spacer 1, and 5.8S ribosomal RNA". The stretch from base 1 to 73 matches the Rfam family "Eukaryotic small subunit ribosomal RNA", at positions 1759 to 1831 of the family's 1831-position model. The record is from RNAcentral. Lineage: Eukaryota; Fungi.
ACAAACUUGGUCAUUUAGAGGAAGUAAAAGUCGUAACAAGGUCUCCGUAGGUGAACCUGCGGAGGGAUCAUUAUUGAAUUUCAAAGUCGGUUGGAUGUGCUGGUGGUCAACACAUGUGCACUCCUUCCGCAAAUCCACUCACCCCUGUGAACUUUUGGCCUAAAGUCUCGCAUGCUAAUCGUGUGCAGCCGGCGUCCACCUGUGGGUCGUCUGAGGCUUGGGUCCUUUUACACACUCUGAAUGUCAUCGUAUGUUCUUCGUGCUUAAUUGCGCAUCUAAAACAACUUUCAACAACGGAUCUCUUGGCUCUCGCAUCGAUGAAGAACGCAGC